Molecule: non-coding RNA, 30 nt
Filed under: Rattus norvegicus (Norway rat)
Lineage: Eukaryota; Metazoa; Chordata; Mammalia; Rodentia; Muridae
Source: RNAcentral
UGGUGACCCGUCUCUCUGACCAUGCACUAU